GAUGAACGCUGGCGGCGUGCUUAACACAUGCAAGUCGAACGAUGAAGCCCAGCUUGCUGGGUGGAUUAGUGGCGAACGGGUGAGUAACACGUGAGUAACCUGCCCUUAAAUCUGGGAUAAGCCUGGGCAACUGGGUCUAAUACCGGCUAGGAGCGUCCACCGCAUGGAGGGUGUUGGAAAGAUUUAUCGGUUUUGGAUGGACUCGCGGCCUAUCAGCUUGUUGGUGAGGUAAUGGCUCACUAAGGCGACGACGGGUAGCCGGCCUGUGAGGGUGACCGGCCACACGAGGACUGAGACACGGCGCAGACGCCUACGGGAGGCAGCAGUGGAGAAUAUUGCACAAUGGGCGCAAGCCUGAUGCAGCGACGCCGCGUGAGGGAUGACGGCCUUCGGGUUAUAAACCUCUUUCAAUAGGGAAGAAGCGAAAGUGACGGUACCUGCAGAAGAAGCACCGGCUAACUACGUG
RNAcentral lists this ribosomal RNA (466 nucleotides) under uncultured bacterium. RNAcentral's name for it is "partial 16S ribosomal RNA". It matches the Rfam family "Bacterial small subunit ribosomal RNA", at positions 28 to 507 of the family's 1533-position model. The record is from RNAcentral.